GCCUUGCUGAAUUAUUCACCCUUGUCUUUUGCGUACUUCUUGUUUCCUUGGUGGGUUCGCCCACCACUAGGACAAACAUAAACCUUUUGUAAUUGCAAUCAGCGUCAGUAACAAAUUAAUAAUUACAACUUUCAACAACGGAUCUCUUGGUUCUGGCAUCGAUGAAGAACGCAGCGAAAUGCGAUAAGUAGUGUGAAUUGCAGAAUUCAGUGAAUCAUCGAAUCUUUGAACGCACAUUGCGCCCUUUGGUAUUCCAAAGGGCAUGCCUGUUCGAGCGUCAUUUGUACCCUCAAGCUUUGCUUGGUGUUGGGCGUCUUGUCUCUAGCUUUGCUGGAGACUCGCCUUAAAGUAAUUGGCAGCCGGCCUACUGGUUUCGGAGCGCAGCACAAGUCGCACUCUCUAUCAGCAAAGGUCUAGCAUCCAUUAAGCCUUUUUUUCAACUUUUGACCUCGGAUCAGGUAGGGAUACCCGCUGA
RNAcentral lists this ribosomal RNA (475 nucleotides) under Alternaria alternata. RNAcentral's name for it is "eukaryotic LSU rRNA". The stretch from base 127 to 280 matches the Rfam family "5.8S ribosomal RNA". The record is from RNAcentral. Lineage: Eukaryota; Fungi; Ascomycota; Dothideomycetes; Pleosporales; Pleosporaceae.